CCUACGGGAGGCAGCAGUGAGGAAUAUUGGUCAAUGGCCGGAAGGCUGAACCAGCCAAGCCGCGUGCAGGACGAAGGUGCCAAGCGUUGUAAACUUCUUUUGUCAAAGGACAAAAUCAGACUCGAGAGCCUGACCGAGGGUACUUGAAGAAAAAGCAUCGGCUAACUCCGUGCCAGCAGCCGCGGUAAUACGGAGGAUGCGAGCGUUAUCCGGAUUUAUUGGGUUUAAAGGGUGCGUAGGCGGGCGGUUAAGUCAGCGGUAAAAGCCCGGGGCUAAACCCCGGCGAGCCGUUUAAACUGGUGGUCUGGAGAUGUCGUGAGGUAUGCGGAAUGUGUAGUGUAGCGGUGAAAUGCUUAGAUAUUGCGCAGAACUCCGAUUGCGAAGGCAGCAUACCGGCGGCGAUCUGACGUUGAGGCACGAAAGCGUGGGUAUCGAACAGGAUUAGAUACCCGAGUAGUC
This 459-nucleotide ribosomal RNA is filed under the name uncultured bacterium. Its description in RNAcentral is "partial 16S ribosomal RNA". It matches the Rfam family "Bacterial small subunit ribosomal RNA", at positions 338 to 795 of the family's 1533-position model. The record is from RNAcentral.